CACCGCGGUUAUACGAGAGGCCCAAGUUGAUUAUUUUCGGCGUAAAGGGUGGUUAGGGGAGAGUGAGUACUAAAGCCGAAUUUUUCCACCGCUGUUAUACGCUACCGGAAACUAGAAGUUCAACCACGAAAGUGGCUUUAUUUUACCCUGAAUCCACGAAAGCUAGGGAA
Molecule: ribosomal RNA, 170 nt
Filed under: Trematomus pennellii (sharp-spined notothen)
Lineage: Eukaryota; Metazoa; Chordata; Actinopteri; Perciformes; Nototheniidae
Description: partial 12S rRNA
Source: RNAcentral